This 876-nucleotide ribosomal RNA is filed under the name uncultured Porphyromonas sp. RNAcentral's name for it is "bacterial SSU rRNA". It matches the Rfam family "Bacterial small subunit ribosomal RNA", at positions 624 to 1512 of the family's 1533-position model. Lineage: Bacteria; Pseudomonadati; Bacteroidota; Bacteroidia; Bacteroidales; Porphyromonadaceae. The record is from RNAcentral.
CCAUUGAUACUGGCGGGCUUGAGUGUAGAUGAGGUAGGCGGAAUGCGUGGUGUAGCGGUGGAAUGCAUAGAUAUCACGCAGAACUCCGAUUGCGAAGGCAGCUUACUAAGGUACAACUGACGCUGAAGCACGAAAGCGUGGGUAUCAAACAGGAUUAGAUACCCUGGUAGUCCACGCAGUAAACGAUGAUAACUGGGCGUAUGCGAUAUACAGUAUGCUCCUAAGCGAAAGCGUUAAGUUAUCCACCUGGGGAGUACGCCGGCAACGGUGAAACUCAAAGGAAUUGACGGGGGCCCGCACAAGCGGAGGAACAUGUGGUUUAAUUCGAUGAUACGCGAGGAACCUUACCCGGGAUUGAAAUGUAGAUGACCGCUCCUGAAAGGGAGUUUUCCUUCGGGACAUCUAUGUAGGUGCUGCAUGGUUGUCGUCAGCUCGUGCCGUGAGGUGUCGGCUUAAGUGCCAUAACGAGCGCAACCCCUGUCUACGGUUGCCAUCAGGUAAUGCUGGGAACUCCGUAGAGACUGCCGUCGUAAGGCGUGAGGAAGGUGGGGAUGACGUCAAAUCAGCACGGCCCUUACAUCCGGGGCGACACACGUGUUACAAUGGUAAGGACAAAGGGCAGCUACCUGGCGACAGGAUGCGAAUCUCUAAACCUUAUCACAGUUCGGAUCGGAGUCUGCAACUCGACUCCGUGAAGCUGGAUUCGCUAGUAAUCGCGCAUCAGCCAUGGCGCGGUGAAUACGUUCCCGGGCCUUGUACACACCGCCCGUCAAGCCAUGGGAGUCUGGAGUACCUAAAGUCCGUAACCGCAAGGGUCGGCCUAGGGUAAUACAGGUGACUGGGGCUAAGUCGUAACAAGGUAGCCGUACCGGAAGG